Molecule: long non-coding RNA, 1830 nt
Organism: Lolium perenne
Lineage: Eukaryota; Viridiplantae; Streptophyta; Magnoliopsida; Poales; Poaceae
Source: RefSeq, a predicted model, not a curated record
UAUACUUUUUCUCAGGUAUAUACAUGGAUCCAAAAAUUAUAAUAUAUUCUUAGCUUUGGAUGUCUGUAGUUGAUACUCAUGAUCAGAAUUAACACUUAGUUAUUUUUACGGGCUAAAUAAUCUGAAAUCUAACAGUGUAGAGCAAAUCCAAUGAUCAGUGCUGUCUGGGGAAGAAAAGGGGCGUGCAUCAGUUCUACAGAAUGCUGAUAAGUACCAGAAGCAAUUAGAGAAGUUGGAAAGUUCAGCUAGCCAAGGUUUUCGCAGAGGACAAAGGCAUCCAACGCAAUUCAGUCACUGCAGUGCUUGGGCAGAAGAGGAGGAGCUGUCUGGGUGGUGUUGAUGUGGUCUUGGCGCUCAGAGAAAGUGAAUACGUCAUUUUGGAGUAUUACAUAGUUAUGAGUUCACUUUGCUUUACUCUCUUUCUUAGAUGUUAAAAUCUUCAUUUUUGGUCAGUGGGAUCUGAUCAUUCAGUUUUACUCUCACCCAGUGGCCCAGUCAGAAGUGCUUUUCUUACUAUUUUGCGGUGUACUAUUGUUUGCACUGAAUUAUUUCCACCAAAUUGUAUGUUCUUCAGCAUCCAUGUCAUGUCCUCAUUUCUUCAGACUGGACGUAGAUUUUAACUGCAGAACUGUGACAGUGCACCUAUAAGCCUGCCACCAGAUCUACGAAAUUUUGCAUUUCUUCCUCACAGUACUAAUUAACAAAAAUAAUUGUGGCUUUCAUGGGAUUCUUAAACAAUUUUUGUACAGCAAAGAUUUUUUUGUGAUUUCUGUUUCGCACUCCUGGUUUUCUAUUUCUCCAUGGUUACUUAUUACUAGGAAUCCUAAUUAGUCCCUUUCUUUUUUCCUUAGCGGCUCUGAGAUAAAUUCAUGACCACGUGUUUCAGAUGGGAGGUAUUUCUAAUAAAGAGAAAUACAUGUCAGAUAAUCUUUGAACUGUUGAUGCAUUGGAUGGUUUGCUGGACACGCUGAAAGCAACACACAUCAGUUUGAAUGACUUGACCUUAAUGCUUCUCCAGUACUUCUUUUGAUCUUUUUAAAGAACUGGAUGGAGCCAACAAUGAAAAUACUCAUGUAGUAGCAGUACCAACAAAUACUUCACCAGAUCAUAUUCCAUAAAUUUCUUUCUUGAAGAAUUAUAGACUGACCCAAAUUAAAUGAGGCAGUUAGCCAGUAUCUCCAGUGACCUUCCAUGAGAGAACUUAAAGAUACUUGAGUAGGUGUUAUAGGCUAGCCUCUUUGGUAGAAUUUCUUGAGAAGGCAUUGCUGUGUAAACAUGAAAGCUUACUUUGUCCACAGGUAACAAAAGUUUCCUGUUCUUUCAUGUAAUGUGCGCUGGUGUUCAAAUGUGUGUGAGUGUUCAGAUACAAGUUGAUAAUCUCUACGCGAUAUGCAUGACCGAAACUACACUCAGAGAAUUGGCUUCAGAUAUCUACAGAAAUCAGCUGCAGAUAUUCAGCGCUCAAGCUUCCCGCAGCAAUUGAUGCAGUUGCGGACACGUCUUAUUUAGCUUAGAUCAUCCGAUUGCAACAUUAUGAAUGUUUUUUUGUUACCAGUUUGCUCUACGCUGUACUACAUAAGAUACACUAUAGAAGAUAGUUCCUUUGGUGUGCUCUCUGUUUUAGCUGUAGUCAGCGUGCUGAGGACUAUCCUUUUUCUCAUCUGUCUUUGUACUAGGCAAACUGAACCUAAAAUUCAGAACAUCAUAUUUUUCCUUCAGCGCAAGAAAAAGAAUCCAGAGAUGAUUAUGCAGCUCGCUAGCACAUGUAAAUAAAAUUUGAUUUUAAUAACUCAAUGAAGAGAAGAAACCUACCAGUUGAUAGCAGAUCAA